GGUAGCGCAGUGUAGCAAUACAUGGGCGACGACCGGCAAACGGGUGCGUAACACGUACGCAAUCUACCCACUACAGGGGAAUAGCCCAGGGAAACUUGGAUUAAUACCCCAUAUUAUAUAGGGUUGGCAUCAACUUUAUAUCAAAGCUUCGGCGGUAGUGGAUGAGCGUGCGGUUGAUUAGAUAGUUGGCGGGGUAACGGCCCACCAAGUCUACGAUCAAUAGCUGAUGUGAGAGCAUGAUCAGCCACACGGGCACUGAGACACGGGCCCGACUCCUACGGGAGGCAGCAGUAAGGAAUAUUGGGCAAUGGACGCAAGUCUGACCCAGCCAUGCCGCGUGAAGGAUGAAGGUCCUCUGGAUUGUAAACUUCUUUUAUCUGGGGCGAAAACAACUCUUUCUAGAGUUCUUGACAGUACCAGAGGAAUAAGCACCGGCUAACUCCGUGCCAGCAGCCGCGGUAAUACGGAGGGUGCAAGCGUUAUCCGGAUUCACUGGGUUUAAAGGGUGCGUAGGCGGGCUAGUAAGUCAGUGGUGAAAUCCCCGAGCUUAACUUGGGAACUGCCGUUGAUACUAUUAGUCUUGAAUAUCGUGGAGGUAAGCGGAAUAUGUCAUGUAGCGGUGAAAUGCUUAGAUAUGACAUAGAACACCAAUUGCGAAGGCAGCUUGCUACACGAUUAUUGACGCUGAGGCACGAAAGCGUGGGGGAUCAAACAGGAUUAGAUACCCUGGUAGUCCACGCCCUAAACGAUGAUUACUCGACAUCAGCGAUACACU
RNAcentral lists this ribosomal RNA (775 nucleotides) under uncultured Bacteroidota bacterium. RNAcentral describes it as "bacterial SSU rRNA". It matches the Rfam family "Bacterial small subunit ribosomal RNA", at positions 66 to 835 of the family's 1533-position model. The record is from RNAcentral. Lineage: Bacteria; Pseudomonadati; Bacteroidota.